RNAcentral lists this transfer RNA (65 nucleotides) under Echiniscus testudo. RNAcentral describes it as "tRNA-His". The record is from RNAcentral. Lineage: Eukaryota; Metazoa; Tardigrada; Heterotardigrada; Echiniscoidea; Echiniscidae.
GAUUAUGUAGUUUAAAAAAUAAAAUAUAAUUUUGUGGUAAUUAAGAUAUAAGUUUUUAAUAAUCA